RNAcentral lists this ribosomal RNA (152 nucleotides) under Escherichia coli. Its description in RNAcentral is "partial 16S ribosomal RNA". It matches the Rfam family "Bacterial small subunit ribosomal RNA", at positions 1 to 146 of the family's 1533-position model. Lineage: Bacteria; Pseudomonadati; Pseudomonadota; Gammaproteobacteria; Enterobacterales; Enterobacteriaceae. The record is from RNAcentral. RNAcentral also lists the same sequence under 1 other name.
AAAUUGAAGAGUUUGAUCAUGGCUCAGAUUGAAUGCUGGCGGCAGGCCUAACACAUGCAAGUCGAACGGUAACAGGAAACAGCUUGCUGUUUCGCUGACGAGUGGCGGACGGGUGAGUAAUGUCUGGGAAACUGCCUGAUGGAGGGGGAUAA